This 494-nucleotide long non-coding RNA is filed under the name Nicotiana benthamiana. Its description in RNAcentral is "long non-coding RNA (NBEN_LNC010722)". Lineage: Eukaryota; Viridiplantae; Streptophyta; Magnoliopsida; Solanales; Solanaceae. The record is from RNAcentral.
GGGAUCUUAACAAUAUGAUUGAGAAGAGUGGUUGGAAUCAAUCCAGAUAAGGCUUGUUCAUCCCAGAUGUUAUUCCUGAUGCAAGUACUAAGCCUUAUGUUAGCAGGUUUCUUGUUAUUCUCAAUGUACGAACCUAAUGGACUAAUUCCUGUCCAGUUAUUCCACCAGAAUGAGAUGUUACCCUCAUUAAUUUUCCAUAAUAUAUAAGGUUCUGUCCCCUUCUUGAUAAUCAUGAGCUCUUUCCAAGCGGUAGAGUGUUAGAUUCUAUGGCCUUCGCCACAGGGUGACUUCUAGGACAAUAUUGUCUUCAAAUAUUGAGACCAUAGAUUAUACUUCGCUCUAAAUCUCCACCACAUCUUGGCUGCAGAAGUCUUACACAGGUCCUCAUAGAUCCCAACACCUCCUUCACCUACUGGAUAGCAUAGCUGGAUCCAUGAACUCUAGUGAUAUCUGUUUUUGCUUUCAGCUUUGCCCAAGAAGAGGUUGGAGAAGUA